UGAAAUCCCAUUUGAAAUCCUCUUCAAAUGCUUGUUCUUGAUUGAUAAAGAAUAUCUCAUGAAUUGCAAACUUCCAAUAACAAGACCAAUAUGUAACACAUAAGCCCAUGUCUUUUUAUUGUAUGCACAUGAAGUCUUGCAAUAUCCGUUUGUGAAUAUCACUCUUCUUUUCUUAAUGAUCCUUUUACUUGUCAAUCAAGCUAUCACAUGAUUUGAAGGCUUGUAGAUCAACUAUAAAACAUAUCCCAAGUUUUACUUCACCCUUGCUUGUCAUUGAUCAUAUAAUUUCAUCACGGGGUCACAUUUCUUUAUUGUGAGCCAUAUAAUACAUAUUCAACUUAUGAGACAAUAUUACAUUAUAAAUAUGAGAAUAAAACCCUGCUCAUAAUAUUAAGCAAACAAGUUAGUCCUUUAAUCAUUUUGUCAUUCAAUUCACCAAAACCCCGCCUAGAUGCACUUUCAAUCUCCCUCUUUUUGGUGAUUGAUGACAAUCCAAUUAAAACUUACAAAUAUAUCAAUAAAGCGCUUUUAGAUUCUUAGAUAUGUG
Molecule: long non-coding RNA, 547 nt
Filed under: Setaria viridis
Lineage: Eukaryota; Viridiplantae; Streptophyta; Magnoliopsida; Poales; Poaceae
Description: long non-coding RNA (SVIR_LNC005438)
Source: RNAcentral